Molecule: ribosomal RNA, 468 nt
Filed under: uncultured bacterium
Lineage: Bacteria
Description: partial 16S ribosomal RNA
Rfam family: Bacterial small subunit ribosomal RNA
Source: RNAcentral
GACGAACGCUGGCGGCGUGCUUAACACAUGCAAGUCGAACGGAAAGGCACUGCUUUUGUGGGGUGCUCGAGUGGCGAGCGGGUGAGUAACACGUGAGUAACCUGCCCUUGUCUUUGGGAUAACUUCAGGAAACUGGGGCUAAUACCGGAUAGGAGCUCCUGCUGCAUGGUGUGGGUUGGAAAGUUUCGGCGGUUGGGGCUGGACUCGCGGCUUAUCAGCUUGCUGGUGGGGUAGUGGCUGACCAAGGCUUUGACGGGUAGCCGGCCUGGGAGGGGGACCGGGCACAAUGGGACUGAGAGACGGACCAGACGCCAACGGGAGGCAGCAGUGGGGAAUAUUGCAGAAUGGGCGGAAGCCAGAUGCGGCAACGCCGCGUGCGGGAUGACGGCCUUCGGGUUGUAAACCGCUUUCGCCUGUGACGAAGCGUGAGUGACGGUAAUGGGUAAAGAAGCACCGGCUAACUACGUG